ACCUACGGGGGGCAGCAGUAGGGAAUUUUCGUCAAUGGGCGCAAGCCUGAACGAACAAUGCCGCGUGAACGAGGAAGGUCUUCGGAUCGUAAAGUUCUGUUGAAGGGGAAAAGGAGCGGAGAGAGGAAAUGGUCUCCGAUUGAUAUUACCCUUCGAGGAAGUCACGGCUAACUACGUGCCAGCAGCCGCGGUAAUACGUAGGUGGCGAGCGUUAUCCGGAAUGAUUGGGCGUAAAGGGUGCGUAGGCGGCCUGCUAAGUCUGGAGUGAAAGGUACCGGCUCGGCCGGUUCACGUUCUGGAACAUG
This 305-nucleotide ribosomal RNA is filed under the name uncultured bacterium. RNAcentral describes it as "bacterial SSU rRNA". It matches the Rfam family "Bacterial small subunit ribosomal RNA", at positions 337 to 635 of the family's 1533-position model. The record is from RNAcentral.